CGGGGUGUGGCCUAAUCUGGUAUGGCGCUUGCUUUGGGAGCAAGAGACUGUAGGUUCAAAUCCUAUCGCCCCGA
Molecule: transfer RNA, 74 nt
Filed under: Acidithiobacillus ferrooxidans ATCC 23270
Lineage: Bacteria; Pseudomonadati; Pseudomonadota; Acidithiobacillia; Acidithiobacillales; Acidithiobacillaceae
Rfam family: tRNA
About the family: Transfer RNA (tRNA) molecules are approximately 80 nucleotides in length. Their secondary structure includes four short double-helical elements and three loops (D, anti-codon, and T loops). Further hydrogen bonds mediate the characteristic L-shaped molecular structure. tRNAs have two regions of fundamental functional importance: the anti-codon, which is responsible for specific mRNA codon recognition, and the 3' end, to which the tRNAs corresponding amino acid is attached (by aminoacyl-tRNA synthetases). tRNAs cope with the degeneracy of the genetic code in two manners: having more than one tRNA (with a specific anti-codon) for a particular amino acid; and 'wobble' base-pairing, i.e. permitting non-standard base-pairing at the 3rd anti-codon position.
Source: Rfam by way of RNAcentral